CUAUCUAAUCUAUGUUUUUUUAUGUCUAUUCUACCGCUUUCGUAAUACUUGACCUGGCAACACUGAUCAUGUUGUGAAAAUUCUAACUGUGGUGACAACAACCUCGCGUAAGAUUGUAGCGUGAGUUGACAACACCGCAACAGGCCCUCCGAGGAGGGAUAAAAGGCGCUGCCUUUCGGCACCCGCCAUCUUAUGCAUAGAGUAAGUAAAAUAAGAGAGGUGGUAAUCAUAUGGGCGUCCUUGUUACCGCGUUGCGCAGGUAGCAGGUGUGCCAGCUGUGUUGUGUAAUAAGUUUGCGACCCAUAAAAAUGAAUGAUCUGAACGACGGAGAGGACUAUGGAAAGCAGCAAUCAAGUGGGAUAAUCUCUCAGAAUUCAAACUAAAAAAUCAGAGAGUAUGCAGUCAGCAUUUCAUUACAGGCAAGGAUCUCCAAGUCUAUAAAAUCAUUUUUAUAGAAAGGAAUUGUUUAGUUGAGCUGAGAGUAGGAACAUAGUUAAAAGAGCCUGAUAUGCUUAAUUGAAUACCUUAUUACGGCGGUAGGCAUUCCCUGCUUCAUUAGAAGAUGAAAGUCAUCCUGAUUGGAUGCCUUCACCGAAUAUGGGGCACAGUUCUCAACAAGUGCACAAACGUCUGGAUGCCAUUGAUAGAAAAGAAAGAUUAGAGAAGCGGAAAAUUAGAAAAGUUGAGGAAAUUAUGGAAUCCGACGUCGUAUAUGUAGAUAAUGAGCUACAUACUGGCAUUGCAGCUCAGACUGAAAUCCCCAUGGACGAACUUGCGAUUAAGUUUGAUCAGCUCAAAUUCGCUUUCAAGAAAAUAGCAGAUCUUAAGUAUAAAAUUGACACUGCGCCUUUUGGACUUAAACAUGAGAUAGGCAAUGAUGAAAAAUGGAUAUACUACACUGGUUUUGAUUUUAUUGUUGAAGCAUUGCGAAUGUCUAGCAACAUUUCGGUAAACCUUAUGUUGCUAGACCCUGAAGGCAUCAUCCAAGCAUUUAGAACAUCAGUACAAGAUGCUUCUUCUCUUCGUCUAUUGGCAUAUUCAGCAGCAAAUAAAAGAGCACCUACAUGACUGCAGACUUCAGCACUUCCAGCCAUACAUGUGCAAUGUGCAGUAGAUAUGGCCUCAUCUUUGGUAAUAAUACACCAAACUUCCAAAGGCUUUGCUUUUGGUCUCAGAGAAUGUUUCACCUAAAAAAAAUACUAUAUACAUACAUAUUUAUUUAGAUUUACCUGCUUGACCCAUAUAAAUGUUAACGUAAAGUACAUUUUUGCAAACGUUACUUAAAACUUGUAAUUUUAUAAUCAAUAAGAUAUAAAUAAAUAGGUACGUAAUACAAUGCUUAACAAACAUUUAUAAGAAUAAUGCAAAAAAAUUCACCUUUCCAAGCAAAACAAAGAAACCAUUAACUUCCUUUGUUCCUACGUCUACAAUAAGCCCAGACUCCAAAUAUUUGUACCAUUGUAGGCUUUUAUAGCACUUCAUUUGCUCCUUGGUAUAAUAACUAGUCAAAACUAAAUAUGAAACAAUGUCCAUAUUUGUUACCGGGGGAACCCCGUGAAUAGAAUUAUCCAAGUCACGUAUGUUCAAGGUGAAAGGAUCCACAUUGUUUAUUAGUCCCAACUUUGUUUUAUAUCUAUAAAGGUAAAGUUGCAAUAAAAAUGAGUGAAAAUGUAACCAUUAUCCAAAUGGGUAUAAAACGCUGCUUACCUUUCCUCAACAUCAGGACUUUCCAACAGAAAUGUCUUUAAAUAUUCACUUUGCAUCUUAAAAAGUUUGUUGUCACUUAAAAAACACUAAAUCGAGUUAUUCAACGAAAACUAAAUCGAACGAUUAACUGAAUUAACUUCAACAGACUGGUUUCGUUUCAAUGUGUGCCCACAGCUGUCAAUUUUGGUCACGUGGUUUGGAAACUAAAUUGUUGGAAUGUUGGAAAACUAAUAACAAAACAAAAUGGUUACUUAAGUGAUUCUAAUUUGCUUCACAGGAAUUCACAAUGCACAGAUCUUUUGUCGGCUUUAAUAUUUGGUGCUUUUCACAACCAGUCUUUGUCAUUAUCGGUUUUCCAAUAGCGGUGGGAAAUAUUUCUUCGAUCAAUCAUAUUUGAUGGUCAUACUCCGGAGUCAUAGAUAAAGACAAGCCCGGAGUGUGGAUUAUGAGUGAAGUAUUUUACAGUAUUUUAACAAAAAUCUUAAAUGGAACGUAAGUGUAGAUAUUAGUGCUAAUAAGGCAAAAAGGCACUUUAUAUUUUAAGGUUUUAGAUGAAAACCCUCUUGAAACCAGUUAACCAAAAAACGCUCAACCAAUAAGAUGAAUGUAGUUUAAUGCGGAGGCCUUUAUAUUUGCCUGCUUCACACGAGAUCCACCCCUAGAGCAGCAUUCUUGGCUACCUAUGGUGAAGUUGGAGCAAAAAAAGAAAGUUGCAGCUGUAAAAACGAAAUCUUUAUCUAUGGAUAUUAAAACUUGAAGAUGAAAAUCCG
Long non-coding RNA from Dendroctonus ponderosae (mountain pine beetle), 2477 nucleotides. RefSeq lists it as uncharacterized. The transcript is spliced from 3 exons. The record is from RefSeq and is a predicted model, not a curated record. Lineage: Eukaryota; Metazoa; Arthropoda; Insecta; Coleoptera; Curculionidae.